ACAAAGUCAGUGAUGAAGAGAGUAGAUUUGAAUAUUUUCUCCAGCGAGCCGGGGCAGAGUGGAAGCCCGGCAGUAAAAUAUCAGAUUGAAGCGCACUUCGGAUGACGAAAAGGUGAACAUUGAGUAGCCUUUUACGCACUUUAUGCGUUAAUUUAAUCGAGGUGGAUUUGUUGUUUCACAGCAGAUCAACUAGAGUGGUACCGCGGAAUCAAACAUUGACCCGUCUCUUGU
This 231-nucleotide non-coding RNA is filed under the name Trichococcus sp. Its description in RNAcentral is "T-box sequence". It matches the Rfam family "T-box leader". From Rfam's summary of the family: Uncharged tRNA acts as the effector for transcription antitermination of genes in the T-box leader family. T-boxes are found upstream of many aminoacyl-tRNA synthetase genes and some amino acid biosynthetic genes usually in Gram-positive bacteria. Lineage: Bacteria; Bacillati; Bacillota; Bacilli; Lactobacillales; Carnobacteriaceae. The record is from RNAcentral.